UAAGACACAUUUGUUCUCUAAUGCAGUGUUUAGAAUCACAAUGAUAUGAUAUUGAUUAGAAGGCUAUAGUAGAAAAAAAGAUAUAGAUAGAUACAAACGCAUUGCACCUGCAUGUUCGCCUUUUCUCCUUAAUCCUCUUGCUUGUCUACAUGACUUACACCAAUCAUUUUGUGCUUCUCCCAAUACCCAGCGACCUGUAUAAUUUCAAAAGAAACCCCACUUGGUUAAGCGCUUCGUUAUGUUAUCACUUCACAGGCAAUAUAGAAUAACCCGUAAGUAAUUGAUAGGGUUAUGGCUAUAAGGGAAACCAUUAAUAUCAUUAUCAAAAAAGUGAAAUCCAUCAAUCAAAAUCUGGUGACCAGUAUAUUAAAGUUCAAAAGGUUUCUCCUAAAUGCAAACUAAAUCAGCAACAGUCAUGUCCUUGACAAUGGAGCAAAGGACCAUCCUUGAGGGGGAAAAAUGCAAGAGAAAGGAAUAAAAAAAAAGCAUGCUUGAACAUACAUGAGAUGGCGAUGAGGUCAUAAUGGCAUCCAUGGUGAAGAAGAGGAUUCAGACCUAGACACCUACCCGCCUGUAAAGAUGAAAAUUAGGGAAUAUAGGUAGUGGGUCAAGGAUAGUGAUUUCAUUCUCUAAUUUGAAGCUUGAUAGGUAUAGUGGUUUAAGGACAUGGUCAAAGUGAGAAAAUAAUUGACAACGAAAUCAGAUAUUAUCUCAAAAUAGAAUCAAGAGAUGCCAUAUCCUUAAUGCCAUCAAAAGGUUAGAAAGAAACUAAAUAAAUUGAGAAACGUAUGUACAGAAAAACAGUCAGUUUUGGUGAGAUCUUGAAUUUAAAAUUUUAAUAUCAAAAUGCCCCUUGAAAUUUUAAUAGCAUAAUUUAUGCUGCUUUUGAAAUUUUGUUUGUUGCUUAAUUGGAGGGUGAAAAUGGUACCUGAAAGAGUUUCUUGGCUAUCACCAUCUCUAUGCGGCUCCUCAAAGAACAUUUUCCCUGUGUG
This 992-nucleotide long non-coding RNA is filed under the name Lotus japonicus. RNAcentral describes it as "long non-coding RNA (LJAP_LNC000305)". Lineage: Eukaryota; Viridiplantae; Streptophyta; Magnoliopsida; Fabales; Fabaceae. The record is from RNAcentral.